RNAcentral lists this transfer RNA (77 nucleotides) under Chloroflexota bacterium. Its description in RNAcentral is "Chloroflexi bacterium tRNA-Ile". It matches the Rfam family "tRNA". Rfam says of the family: Transfer RNA (tRNA) molecules are approximately 80 nucleotides in length. Lineage: Bacteria; Bacillati; Chloroflexota. The record is from RNAcentral.
GGGCCACUAGCUCAGUUGGUUAGAGCGCGCCCCUGAUAAGGGCGAGGUCUGUGGUUCAAAUCCACAGUGGCCCACCA